UCCUACGGGAGGCARCAGUAAGGGAAUCUUCCGCAAUGGGCGAAAAGCCUGACGGAGCAACGCCGCGUGAGUGAAGAAGGAAUUUUCGGUUCGUAAAGCUCUGUUGUUAGGGAAGAAUGAUUGUAUAGUAACUAUAUACAGUAGAGACGGUACCUAACCAGAAAGCCACGGCUAACUACGUGCCAGCAGCCGCGGUAAUACGUAGGUGGCAAGCGUUGUCCGGAAUUAUUGGGCGUAAAGCGCGCGCAGGUGGUUUAAUAAGUCUGAUGUGAAAGCCCACGGCUCAACCGUGGAGGGUCAUUGGAAACUGUUAAACUUGAGUGCAGGAGAGAAAAGUGGAAUUCCUAGUGUAGCGGUGAAAUGCGUAGAGAUUAGGAGGAACACCAGUGGCGAAGGCGGCUUUUUGGCCUGUAACUGACACUGAGGCGCGAAAGCGUGGGGAGCAAACAGGAUUAGAUACCCUGGUAGUCCACGCCGUAAACGAUGAGUGCUAAGUGUUGGUCUCAUAAGAGAUCAGUGCUGCAGCUAACGCAUUAAGCACUCCGCCUGGGGAGUACGACCGCAAGGUUGAAAACUCAAAUGAAUUGACGGGGA
RNAcentral lists this ribosomal RNA (594 nucleotides) under uncultured Bacillota bacterium. RNAcentral describes it as "bacterial SSU rRNA". It matches the Rfam family "Bacterial small subunit ribosomal RNA", at positions 337 to 919 of the family's 1533-position model. Lineage: Bacteria; Bacillati; Bacillota. The record is from RNAcentral.